GUUGCCCUUGCAGUGGCACACUCUCAGCUCACUGAAACCUCUCCCUUCCAGGUUCAAGCAAUUCUCAUUUCUCAGCCUCCCAAGUAGCUGGGAAUACAGGCACGCACUACCAAACCUGGCUAAAUGUUUGUACUUUUAGUAAAGAUAGUGUUUCACCAUGUUGACCAGGCUGGUCCUGAACUCCUGACCUCAAGUGAUGUGCCUGCCUCGGCCUCCCAAAAAAAAAAAUGGCAGAAAACCUCUGCAACUUUGAAUUAGGCAAAGAUUUCAAAAGCAUGAUCCAUAACAGAGCGAAUUGAUAAACUGGAUAUCAUUAUAAUUAAAAACUUUUUCUCUUUGGAAAACCAUAUUAAGAGAAUGAAGAAACAAACCACAAACUGGAAGAAAAUAUUUGCAAAUCACCUAUCUGACAAAAGACUUGUAAGAAUAUAUAAUUUGCAAUGCUCAACAAUAAGAAAACAAAAAAUCCAGUAAAUGAUGAGCAAAAGGUUUUAACAGAUAUUUAACCAGUGACAAAUAAGCACAGGAAUACAUGCUCAAUAUCUGUAGUCAUUAAGGAAACUCAUACUAAAAAUCACAAUGAAAUACCACAACUGACCAUAUCACGUGUUAGUGAGGAUAUGGAGGAACUGAAAGUCUCUUCCCCUGCUGGUGGGAAUGUAAAAUGGUAGAACUCUUUGGAAAUAGUUUGACAGUUCCUUUAAAACUCGAACACACAUCUCCAUUGUGACUCACCAUAUCAUUUUGGUGUAUUUAGCCAAGACAAAUGAAAGAAUAUAUUCAUAAAAAGAUUUGCAUAUUAAUAUUUAUCAAAGCUUUGUUAUAGGCAAAACCUGUAAACAACCCAAAUGUCCACCAUUAGGUGACUGAAUGGACAAAUUGUGGUAUACACGUACAACAAAAAGGAGUACACAAUAAGAAGAAUGGACUGCAGAUACACAUAAAAACAAGCUGAAAACAAGGUGAAAGAAAGUUUGUUUGUUUUUUUUUUUUGAGUCAGGGUCUCAGUCUGUUGACCAGGCUGGAGUGCAGUGACCCCAUCACAGCUCACUGUACCCUGGACCUCCUAGACUCAAGGAAUCCUCCUGCCUCAGCUUUCAUUGUAGCUGGGACCAUAGUCAUGGGCCACCAUGCCUGGUAACUAACCUUUUGAUCUUUUGUAGAGACAGGGUCUCACUUUUUUUCCUCGGUUGGUCUUGAGCACCUCGAGUCAAGCAAUUCUCUCACCUGGGCCUCCCAAAGCCAUGGGAUUACAGGUGUGAACCACUGUGA
This 1272-nucleotide long non-coding RNA is filed under the name Macaca fascicularis (crab-eating macaque). Its description in RNAcentral is "lncRNA (ENSMFAG00000056477.1)". The record is from RNAcentral. Lineage: Eukaryota; Metazoa; Chordata; Mammalia; Primates; Cercopithecidae.